RNAcentral lists this ribosomal RNA (551 nucleotides) under uncultured rumen protozoa. Its description in RNAcentral is "SSU rRNA". It matches the Rfam family "Eukaryotic small subunit ribosomal RNA", at positions 324 to 961 of the family's 1831-position model. The record is from RNAcentral.
GAUGGUAGUGUAUUGGACUACCAUGGCUCUCACGGGUAACAGGGAAUUAGGGUUCGAUUCUGGAGAAGGAGCCUGAGAAACGGCUACUACAUCUACGGAAGGCAGCAGGCGCGUAAAUUACCCAAUCCUGACUCAGGGAGGUGGUGACAAGAUAUAACAACGCGAUAUUAUCGCGAUUGUAGUGAGGGUAUUCUAAACAGAACCUAUAGUACGAUUAGAGGGCAAGUCUGGUGCCAGCAGCCGCGGUAAUUCCAGCUCUAAUAGCGUAUAUUAAAGUUGCUGCAGUUAAAAAGCUCGUAGUUGGAUUUCAAGGACUGUAAACCCUCUCGGGAAUACAUCCUACUAGUCUCCGGACUGUUACUGUGAGAAAAUUAGAGUGUUUCAAGCAGGCUUUCGCAAGAAUACAUUAGCAUGGAAUAACGAAUGUAUUUAGAAUCUUGGUUAAUUCUAAAUUACGGUUAAUAGAGACAGUUGGGGGCAUUAGUAUUUAAUUGUCAGAGGUGAAAUUCUUGGAUUUGUUAAAGACUAACGUAUGCGAAAGCAUUUGCCAA